Melampsora americana is the source of this 96-nucleotide non-coding RNA. The record is from the annotation of a GenBank genome assembly. NCBI's taxonomy places the organism in Eukaryota, Fungi, Basidiomycota, Pucciniomycetes, Pucciniales, Melampsoraceae.
GCCCGUUUAGCUCAGUCGGUAGAGCAUUUGACUUUUACCAAGUUUUCUCCUCAGGAUCUUAUCAAAUUUUCGGGGGUUCGAGCCCCCCAUUGGGCG